UAAGGUGAACCUGCGGAAGGAU
Molecule: ribosomal RNA, 22 nt
Filed under: Anzia colpota
Lineage: Eukaryota; Fungi; Ascomycota; Lecanoromycetes; Lecanorales; Parmeliaceae
Description: partial small subunit ribosomal RNA
Source: RNAcentral